Molecule: ribosomal RNA, 497 nt
Filed under: uncultured bacterium
Lineage: Bacteria
Description: partial 16S ribosomal RNA
Rfam family: Bacterial small subunit ribosomal RNA
Source: RNAcentral
GACGAACGCUGGCGGCGUGCCUAAUACAUGCAAGUUGAGCGCUGAAGGUUGGUACUUGUACCAACUGGAUGAGCAGCGAACGGGUGAGUAACGCGUGGGGAAUCUGCCUUUGAGCGGGGGACAACAUUUGGAAACGAAUGCUAAUACCGCAUAAAAACUUUAAACACAAGUUUUAAGUUUGAAAGAUGCAAUUGCAUCACUCAAAGAUGAUCCCGCGUUGUAUUAGCUAGUUGGUGAGGUAAAGGCUCACCAAGGCGAUGAUACAUAGCCGACCUGAGAGGGUGAUCGGCCACAUUGGGACUGGGACACGGCCCAAACUCCUACGGGAGGCAGCAGUAGGGAAUCUUUGGCAAUGGAAGAAAGUCUGACCGAGCAACGCCGCGUGAGUGAAGAAGGUUUUCGGAUCGUAAAACUCUGUUGGUAGAGAAGAACGUUGGUGAGAGUGGAAAGCUCAUAAAGUGACGGUAACUACCCAGAAAGGGACGGCUAACUACGUG